GAAAAAUGGAGGUCGGGGCUAUCUUCAAGAGUCACCAAUUUGUUGAGGGUAAUUCGGGAAAUUUAUUCGAUUAGGGUUUCCCUUCCCUCAUUUUCUCUCUCACAUACACACACUGUCGCGCCGUUAGGUCUACAAAUUUCUGAAGAGGGAUCUCAUCUAUAAGAAGAGGCCAAAAAUACCAUUCCAAUCACUCUCCACAACUCAAUUACACGUCAACCAUUUUCACGAUAGAUCCGUAACUUUAAGAAACCCUAAAUUUUGGGGUGGACUCCCUUUAUUUUGGGAGGAAAAAAAAAUCGAGAAUUAAUGAAUGGUGGAAAUCUAACCCUUGAUUGUGCGCCGUCAAGCCCUUGCAUUCCGCAUUCACACUCUGAAAGGUUUCCUUUCUAACUAUUUACUUUUCCGAUUAAAUGCUUUAUAUUGUCGUUUUUUGUGAUUUCUGGUUUAUUAUUUUAUAUAUGUUUUGUUGAUUUCUAUUUAAAUGAUUACCUUGUGCACUUGUCUGUUAGUUAAUCAGAUGGUUAUUAUAAAUUUUUAAAGGCGAUUAAAUGGGUUGCUCUUGUACAUAUUAGUUUUAAUAAUUUUUUUAAUAAAAAACAUUUGUGAAAUAGUGAUGUUGAUUUUUUAUUAUAAUGAUAAUAGUGAGUUUGUGUGUGUGUGUGUGUGUGUGUGUGAUUAUUUGUUUUUGUGUCUAGUUCAUUAAAAGAAAAUUGUUCAGAGUAGAUGUAGUUGAUUCUACACAUUGUCUGGAAUUUUUAUGAAGUAAAAAUAGAUUGUGUCAAUAUUGAGUAAUUUCUAAACAAGAAACUAAAAAAAUGAACAUUGUCUACGAAAUAUCUUGGUUCAGCAUAAGCUUUUCUUCAUUAAUAUACAAUGUUAAUUUUGCUCAAAAAGUUAUUGUUCGUGCAUUUCGCCCAAGUGAAGUCUGCAAUAUUCUGGUGAGUAUUGAAUCCCUUGACCGGAUUUUGCUGCUUAGCACGGAAAUGUUGUUAUUGGGUGUCCAUCAUCCUUAGUUUUUUACUUUCUAAAUUGCAAUAUUUGUUGUCUACUGGUUUCUUGAUCUUCAAUAUGUCUUGUUAACUUUUCCAUUGACAUUAAUUACUAGUAAAUUGAAAAGUAUUUUGUUCGACGUGCCGCGAGAAUAAAUCUAUUGCUAAGAAUAUUGCAAAAACUAUUAAUAAUGCAGGUUUUGCUAACAUAAUUAACGAAAAGGACCUGUACCAUCAAAAAGCUUGCUGACAUCGAUAAUUUAGUGGUGGAAAGACAUCUGCUCGGUGAUUCAUAACAUACUGGAAUAUUGAAGAUUUCACAGGGAGGAUAUCCAAGUACAGCAAUUGUUUGGUUCAAACAUGAAAAACUCUUAUUUGCAGGAGAGAAAAGAAAGAUACAAAAAGUGCUCCUUGGCUGUGAUGUGAUCACCUGCAUUCGACAUCCUCGAGUGUGAUUGAAGUCAUUGAUCAAGAGACUGUUGAACAUCAAAGAAGGCAGUUUCUAGGUUGCAAAUGUGUCAAUACUGUUGAGUGAGUUCUUAGAGUGUAGAAUGAUAUCAAUUGUUGGAACAUAAGUGUGGGUAAGACUACCUUGCCAAGAGAAUUUAUAGGAAUCUACCAACUAGAUUUGAUUGUUUUGCCUUAGUAGUCUUUCUCUUGUGAGCCACGAGUAAGGAAGCCUUUUUCUAGAAGUAGCAAAUGUGUAAGCCUGAGGAACAAUCGGAAAAAUUAUGCCGAACAAUCAAACCUAUUUCUUACACUCCUACAAAUACUCUUAGCAAGAGUAGUCUUACCCAUACUUCUAGUCCCAACAAAUGAUGUCAUCUUAUGCUGUGAGUUUUCCCCCAACAGUUCUACCUCUUGUUGCUAAGUUUUCUUCUAAGGUACUGCCUGCUUUGACAUUCAAUGGUAGUAAACUGUAAUUGCCCUAUAUACAGAGUUUAUUUUGCUGAUGUUAUCUUUUCUUUUUUGUCAAUGGAAACUUAUUUGAAUGUGUUUAGCAUUCUCCCUUUCAAAACAAUAACUUAUCGUUAUCGGGUGUCUUGUAAUUUGUAAUUACUCAUAUAUGUGUGAAGAUUUUUUUUUUUUUUUUCUUUUUUAUGUCUUCCAUUUUAAAGCAUAAGAGAUGGGAAAGUGACAUUGAAAUCUUCUCAUAUGCUCUUAUUACUAAUUGUCAACAAGUGUUUUUUCUAUUAGUUUAUCAUAAAUCGAAACGUGUUUGUAUUUUCGCUCAGAUACUCACAUUACUCAUAUGCUGCUUGUACCCAUUUGUCAGUCCGUACAAUAGUUUUAGUCCUACUUGUUGUUUCAAUCACAUAAAAUGUGUGGUUAAAAACGAUUUUGGAGAAAAAUAUUUCUCCCGA
Molecule: long non-coding RNA, 2353 nt
Filed under: Olea europaea subsp. europaea
Lineage: Eukaryota; Viridiplantae; Streptophyta; Magnoliopsida; Lamiales; Oleaceae
Source: RNAcentral